ACGCUCGACACCUACGGGGCAGCAGUGGGGAAUAUUGCACAAUGGGGGAAACCCUGAUGCAGCGACGCCGCGUGAAGGAAGAAGUAUCUCGGUAUGUAAACUUCUAUCAGCAGGGAAGAAAGUGACGGUACCUGACUAAGAAGCCCCGGCUAACUACGUGCCAGCACGCCGAGUAUCNGNGCGGNNGNAG
This 190-nucleotide ribosomal RNA is filed under the name uncultured bacterium. RNAcentral describes it as "partial 16S ribosomal RNA". It matches the Rfam family "Bacterial small subunit ribosomal RNA", at positions 326 to 536 of the family's 1533-position model. The record is from RNAcentral.